Molecule: long non-coding RNA, 3061 nt
Organism: Apteryx owenii (little spotted kiwi)
Lineage: Eukaryota; Metazoa; Chordata; Aves; Apterygiformes; Apterygidae
Source: Ensembl
CUGAUUCCUGUGAAAUAAAGUACUUUAUUGCUUCAAGAAGAUACUUCAUUGAAAAGAGUUGAGAAGAGUUGUGUAGGCUUCUUGGAGAUUCUGGCUAAAGCCCUAUAGUGGUGGAGUAGCCUAGGAAAAGGGGAUUAUAGCUUUAUAUAUUUAAAAUAAUUUGUCUUUUCAUGGAGCACAAGAACAGUGCUUUAACAGCAGUCAAGAACUUUAAGUAGCAUGGACAUGUUCUCUAAUUGAAAUAUGGCAGCAGCUCAGUAGCAGUUAUACAACAGGAAAGGAUGUGCAGGCUACUGCAAGUCCCUGGAUUCAUAGGAGCUGGUUUCUGAAAGAACUGCUGAUUUUUAUCGCAGAUAAAAGCUCAGGUAGGAUGGCCUAAAAUGACCAUUGAAAACCGUAGGGUCACAGCCAAACCAGUUUCCCAUUUCUGUUGAGAGUAUAUAUGCAUCUGUACGGUUCAGAACCACCUGAACAGCAUCAGACCUGGUCAAAUAAGAAAAUACUGCCUGCUUAAAAUAAUAGCUUGGCCUGGUCCACCUAGCUCCUGCUGGGCUAUCUGGGUUACUGUGAAGCACUGUGCUGAAGACUUCCCCAACCAUGGACUGCUGGAGAGUAUGGCACACCAACACGACGCGGGGUCCAGUGCUGAGUGUAAAUCCUGUGGUUGCCAGCAUUCUAGCUUUAGUCUGUGCAGAGAUGUACCUGAGCAGUUAAUGUGGAGAAAGAUUAGUGCUGGGGCUACGUUGCUUGAAAUGGGCUCCGUGUGUGUGCUGUGCACUUCAGUACAAAACUUACGCUCUGGAUUGCCCGAAGGUCUCUGACCCAGCAAAGUGUUUCAUUGUGCGUAGCUUUCUGACCAUGCAGUUGCAGCAUUAGAAAACCUGAUGUCUGUAAGCAGCACUGGUGAUUACUAGAUGUAGUUCAGACAAAUCACACCAGGAGAGGAGAGCUAGAGUAAGAUGUGGAGAAGCUUUUCCCAAGUUUCCAUCUUUUAGGACUGUUAAGAAGAGUACCAAUUUGUUAUAAUUAAGGAAUUGUAUGUUGCCCCACACACCUAGCCAAAUACACAUUUUAUAUUUAAUUGAAGAGUAGAUCUGCAAGAAGAGAAUUGGAUGCUAAGAUGUAUCAUAAAUGAUGGAUGAAAGGUAUAAUUUCAGCUUUCCAUGUCAACAUUUUUCGACUCCUCCUGAUACGGUUGAAGGCAGCUUCACUACUAUGAACUUUCUCACAAUGCAAAUAUGAUUUACUGCCUCUGUUUUGAUAGCAGUGCAUGUUUUCCUGCUGCUCCAUAGUGAAAUGUGCAGUGAUUUCACUGUAAUUGCUCUGCUUUAGAAAAUGUCAGAUAGAAUAAUAAUUGUGUCCCCUAAGAAUUUGAUUAUUGCUGUUGUUAACCUUUCUGGAAAACAAAGGAGCAGAAGUAGAGACAGAUGCAAUCCUCAGGUGAAUUGGAGGAAGGAUGUUGUGCAGCCAAGUGGGUACAUCUCGCAUGGGAUGAAGGACAGUGCAUGCUUUGCUAGUUCAUAUUAGUGAGGUCUGUUAAUCUUCCUGUAAAUCCCUGCCCACGAGAGCUCCUUUCAUCACCGGAGUAAAUUGUGACCAGUGUAACUACUGUCCCAAUGCUACCUCCUGGAAACAAGUGGAUGAAGAAGGGAAAGGGAAAUUUUAGUAGCUACUCCAGCCCAGUGAAAAUGAAUGAGUUUGGUUACUCUUCACUGAGAACCAAAGGAAUCAAGAAAGCCCUGAGAAGCUUGGUUUGUUGUCCAUAGGCACCUGGGAUGGAGUACCUGUUCCCUCUUGAGAACAGAUUGAAAGUGACAGUUCAGUCCCAGACAAAUACAGUUUACAUCUGAAUCAUUUUAUGUGAAAACUUCUAAUCAUGCUUGUCUUUCUAACUCUCAUCCUUGAAGAGGUUGUGGGUUAACUUUGCUGGGAAUACAGCAGCAUGCGACGUGCUUGGCCGUGGAAACAGGUAUGUGUGGGAUCUCUCAAGUUUCCAGCAGCGCUUUUGAGUAUUAUUGUUCUCCAAAAUGGCUAGCAUUGCUGGCAUUCAUUCUGAGUGAAGUUACAGCCUCCUUUACAUAGGUUUUAUGCUAUCUGGACUACCCCAACCUUUUGCUUUAGUCUAUUCUCCAUUAUCCAAAGGUAAAUUUAGGCACAAAUCAUGACACGAGAGCCUUGCUUUGGAAUAUGCCUGCUUCCUGUAAGUCAUUUAUACUCUCUGGUAUGGGUGGAUCUGCCUAUUACGGUGCAAUCGGUUUGGUGGAUUUUCAUUCCUCCCCAAGCAACCACACAGCUGAAUUUUCUGCAUACUGUGCUUAUGCUUUAUGUGCACAGCCUGUAGGUAUUCUGCACCUCUGAGGCACGAUGGGAUGGCUACCCCAGUCUUCCCUGAAUUUACUGCUCGGCAGUCAGGCAGUGACACAGCUGUCAAUGCACAGCAUUAUUUUGCUCAUGUCCAUCACCCAUGAAUGGAGUUUGGUUUUGUCACCAUUUUGUUUCUUUAUAAUGCAUAAGUAUUAAGGUAGGCUUUGUGCCAACACACAGGUUUUCCAAACUUUUUAAACUUCUUUCUCUCCUUUUCUGUGAUAGCUUGGCUCCCUAUCUCCUUUACGCAGUACAUUUGUUCAGCUGUGUGGAGCUGGUGGUACUGGUAGCUGCAGGGUUCCACCUGUUGCAUCCCAUCAUUAUAGGGAAUUAAAAAAGAAAGCUUGUAGGAAGGAGGCCUCCUUUCCCUCUCAUCUUUUGGGAUGUCCUGCCCAGCUUCAGAGCUGGAGCAGAUGGUUCUGAUCACCCUAGUGAACGGGCAGUCUCAGCUCCUGCCCUCCAUCCUCCCCAGCACCAGGUGGUGGGACAGCAGCACCUAGGGCUGCGCACUGUGUCACACUGGCUCUGCUCCCUACAGUGGGGAAGGUGUGGGGAUGGUGGGCUCCUGAGCUGCCAUCCUCUCCCCUUGGGCAGGCAUGGGCGCUUCUGUCCCCAUGCCUUCUGUGUCUCCCUUCCAGAAGCUCAUGCCCUUCCAAUUUGGGAACAACUGCUCUAAUAAAUAUGGGCCUUUAGCACA